CCUCUUUCAUAGCUGCACGAAAAACCCUAUAUCAGAUGCGCUGACUUGUUCAGCUAUGGUGAUAAACGGCGCGUGGAAUAAUCGUUGUGGACCCGGGGGCGGUACCCGGCGCCUCCACCAUCCUCUAUCCUGAGGGGGCGAAAUAGGCUCGACACGCGUGGUAAAGACCCGCCUUUUGCCCGGCAUGGUUCCGCCGAUAUCGGGCCAUAUCACAGGUGCCAACGAUAACGGUACUUUUGCUGUUGCUGCGUAAGCAAUAAGCGCGGUUAGGGGGGCCCCGAGCAACAGAAUGCCCCCCACU
Molecule: transfer-messenger RNA, 301 nt
Filed under: Acetobacteraceae bacterium
Lineage: Bacteria; Pseudomonadati; Pseudomonadota; Alphaproteobacteria; Acetobacterales; Acetobacteraceae
Also listed under: 1 other name
Rfam family: Alphaproteobacteria transfer-messenger RNA
About the family: Bacterial tmRNA, also known as 10Sa RNA or SsrA, is named for its dual tRNA and mRNA-like properties. Its role is to liberate the mRNA from a stalled ribosome.
Source: RNAcentral